GACGAACGCUGGCGGCAUGCCUAAUACAUGCAAGUCGAGCGAACAGAUGAAGUGCUUGCACUUCUGACGUUAGCGGCGAACGGGUGAGUAACACGUAAGGAAUCUACCUAUAAGCGGGGGAUAACAUUCGGAAACGGGUGCUAAUACCGCAUAAUAUCUUCUUCCGCAUGGAAGAAGAUUGAAAGACGGCUCUGCUGUCACUUAUAGAUGACCUUGCGGUGCAUUAGUUAGUUGGUGGGGGAAUGGCCUACCAAGACGAUGAUGCAUAGCCGACGGGAGAGGGUGAUCGGACACAUUGGGACUGAGACACGGCCCAAACUCGUACGGGAGGCAGGAGUAGGGAAUCUUCCGCAAUGGGCGAAAGCCUGACGGAGAAAUGCCGCGUGAGUGAAGAAGGCCUUCGGGUCGUAAAACUCUGUUAUAAGAGAAGAACAAAUUGUAGAGUAACUGCUACAGUCUUGACGGUAUCUUAUCAGAAAGCCACGGCUAACUACGUGCCAGCCGCCGCCGUAA
Molecule: ribosomal RNA, 513 nt
Filed under: uncultured bacterium
Lineage: Bacteria
Description: partial 16S ribosomal RNA
Rfam family: Bacterial small subunit ribosomal RNA
Source: RNAcentral